Molecule: ribosomal RNA, 1346 nt
Filed under: uncultured bacterium
Lineage: Bacteria
Description: bacterial SSU rRNA
Rfam family: Bacterial small subunit ribosomal RNA
Source: RNAcentral
GACGAACGCUGGCGGCGUGCUUAACACAUGCAAGUCGAACGGAAAGGCCCUGCUUUUGUGGGGUGCUCGAGUGGCGAACGGGUGAGUAACACGUGAGUAACCUGCCCUUGACUUUGGGAUAACUUCAGGAAACUGGGGCUAAUACCGGAUAGGAGCUCCUGCUGCAUGGUGGGGGUUGGAAAGUUUCGGCGGUUGGGGAUGGACUCGCGGCUUAUCAGCUUGUUGGUGGGGUAGUGGCUUACCAAGGCUUUGACGGGUAGCCGGCCUGAGAGGGUGACCGGCCACAUUGGGACUGAGAUACGGCCCAGACUCCUACGGGAGGCAGCAGUGGGGAAUAUUGCACAAUGGGCGGAAGCCUGAUGCAGCAACGCCGCGUGCGGGAUGACGGCCUUCGGGUUGUAAACCGCUUUCGCCUGUGACGAAGCGUGAGUGACGGUAAUGGGUAAAGAAGCACCGGCUAACUACGUGCCAGCAGCCGCGGUGAUACGUAGGGUGCGAGCGUUGUCCGGAUUUAUUGGGCGUAAAGGGCUCGUAGGUGGUUGAUCGCGUCGGAAGUGUAAUCUUGGGGCUUAACCCUGAGCGUGCUUUCGAUACGGGUUGACUUGAGGAAGGUAGGGGAGAAUGGAAUUCCUGGUGGAGCGGUGGAAUGCGCAGAUAUCAGGAGGAACACCAGUGGCGAAGGCGGUUCUCUGGGCCUUUCCUGACGCUGAGGAGCGAAAGCGUGGGGAGCGAACAGGCUUAGAUACCCUGGUAGUCCACGCUGUAAACGGUGGGUACUAGGUGUGGGGUCCAUUCCACGGGUUCCGUGCCGUAGCUAACGCUUUAAGUACCCCGCCUGGGGAGUACGGCCGCGAGGCUAAAACUCAAAGGAAUUGACGGGGCCCCGCACAAGCGGCGGAGCAUGCGGAUUAAUUCGAUGCAACGCGUAGAACCUUACCUGGGUUUGACAUGGAUCGGGAGUGCUCAGAGAUGGGUGUGCCUCUUUUGGGGUCGGUUCACAGGUGGUGCAUGCCUGUCGUCAGCUCGUGUCGUGAGAUGUUGGGUUAAGUCCCGCAACGAGCGCAACCCUUGUUCACUGUUGCCAGCACGUUAUGGUGGGGACUCAGUGGAGACCGCCGGGGUCAACUCGGAGGAAGGUGGGGAUGACGUCAAGUCCUCAUGCCCCUUAUGUCCAGGGCUUCACGCAUGCUACAAUGGCUGGUACAGAGAGUGGCGAGCCUGUGAGGGUGAGCGAAUCUCGGAAAGCCGGUCUCAGUUCGGAUUGGGGUCUGCAACUCGACCUCAUGAAGUCGGAGUCGCUAGUAAUCGCAGAUCAGCAACGCUGCGGUGAAUACGUUCCCGGGGCU